RNAcentral lists this non-coding RNA (500 nucleotides) under Pongo abelii (Sumatran orangutan). Lineage: Eukaryota; Metazoa; Chordata; Mammalia; Primates; Hominidae. The record is from RNAcentral.
AGGUGUGCUAGGGAAUAAAUGAAAUGCCUGGGACAUCAUCAUUAAGUGGCGUCUGAUGCAUAAGCAAUGCCCUAGGAAUGGGGGUGCCUGCCUUGGUCUCUAAAGGAUGGGUUCAAAAGGCAAGAGCAACACACAAGAAGAUAGCUUCAAGCAGGAGAAAAAGCUUGGCCAAGGGCCCAAAGGGGAUAUGACCCUUCAGCAAACUGACAUGCUGAAAGCUGCCCUAUGGAGAGGCUCAUGUGGCAAGGAACAGAGGGUGGCUUCUGGCCAACACCCAUUGAGGAACUCAGGCCCUCAGUCAAACAGCCUGCAAGGAACUGAACCCUGCCAAUAACCCAGCUGUGUUGAAAGCUUCCCUUUGGAGAAGAACUGAGGGCUGUCUCUGGUCAAUAGCACUGAGGAACUGAAUCCAGCAAACAAUUAUGUGAAGAAACUUGGAAGCUUGUCCUCCCCUCCAGUUGAGCUUUGAGAUGACUGCCGCCCCAGUGGACACCUUGAUU